RNAcentral lists this long non-coding RNA (2179 nucleotides) under Fukomys damarensis (Damara mole-rat). Its description in RNAcentral is "lncRNA (ENSFDAG00000030504.1)". The record is from RNAcentral. Lineage: Eukaryota; Metazoa; Chordata; Mammalia; Rodentia; Bathyergidae.
CACGGUUUGACACCUCUGUUCUAUACCGGUCUCAAGAGUGGGAGAAAGCCAAAAACCAUGGGUCGUGCCCUUACCUGUGUCUGCAGAAGGUGGCCUGGGACGCUUCCUUUGCUGGUUAUGUUGUGGUUGGCGUUACGUUAAGGAAUACUGAGACAGAACAUAAAAUUUACUCCUGCUUCCAACAGACUCAUAGACUGAGAGAGACAGAGGAGUAAACUGUUCAUCGCGGGGUGGAGUGAUAUAUACCCCAGGAGAAGCAUAGGGCAGGGUGAAAUGAGAAGGACUGUUGCGCAGGGGACUUAAGGGGGUGGGAUUGGGGUUUGAACUGAACAUAUUUGAUGCAGUGAUGGCCUUCAAGUAAACUUCUAAUCGAGCUAUCCCACAGGUGAUGAGACAGAAGACUCAAAGAUCAAGUGAAGAUUCUUUAAUAAUAAAGCUUGUUGGAUCCGUUUAAGCAGCCAUCAAAAAGCAAGAAGAAAAACAGUUAAAAAUUGAUAUGCUUAAGGUGGUGUGCAAGCAAUGGAGGGCCACCGACGUCAUUGGUUCAGGUGUCCUGUCUGUCACUGUACCUUUCCCCAGGGACAAGAUGCUCACGAGGACUGCAGUUGCCAUUUUCAUCUGCAGAUGAAAGAUGCUUUUGGGGCCAUGACACCCUCACUCUGUUGGAGAGAAGCACGGAAAUGCAUCUGCACAUAAUUUGUGAGGAUCUGAAGGCACAGGGAAAGUGUUCUUCCCCCAGAAUCUCCAUGGAUUGAGAACACAGACGUACACUGGUGGCCCGAGGUCUGCUUCCUGUGAGGAGAGUCAGCCCUCCCAUCCGGCUCAGCAGGAAGACAGGUGAGGGCCUGGACUUCUGGAGAAAGUCAGAACAUAAAGGGUCUCGAGAUGAAGAAGGACGAAGUUGGAACAAGACACAGGUGGCAAUGCACACAGCAGAGAUUCUCUUACCUCCAAUGCACUGCACAUCUUCAGAAAAUCUAUUCAGGAAGGAUAUAGCUGCUACUGGCAGAUAGGAAAUCCUGUGUAAGUUAAUGGAGCUCCUGGGUCCAGGCUUGCAGAGGAGCAAGUUGACUUGAACAAAGCCACAAACCAAAGUCUCCUUAGCGGAGAAGGCCUGGUGGACAGAUCCUGGGGUAGUCCUUGGGGCUGUGGGCUCCUAACACAGUUAGGGAGUGGGAAGUAACUAAAGUUAAAGGUUGUAGGGUGAAAGUCACUGGUGGCAAGGAAGGAAAUUAGAGCCAGAGAAAUCAUCUUAGCAGCAGGUGCUAUGGGGACCUCAGGGAGCUGUAGGCCGGGGGGAGCCCCUAGGAUUUGAAGUGAGGGUUUCGAGCUUCCCCACUGUCAAAAGACAAGGACUGGCCUCACGGGAGGAAGUAGUGGGAACCCACGCUACUGCACAAAGGCAGGAUCUCAAAUUUCUCUGUCUCAGUGACAGGAAAAUGAGAAAACUGAACAUUAGAACUAAAAUCUAAAAAGGUUCCUCUGAGUAGCCAAAGCUCCAAGUGUUUUCCGUAUUCAAAUAUGAAGUCUCCUUUGACAUUCUCUCUAGGACUUUAACGGGACUCCGGGCUUUUGCACCAGUGAAAUAUCCUAGAGUGUUCAGGAGAAUCAAAACCCUCUGUAGUCACAUUUGCAACAGUCCAGGGUAAGAAGGAAUUCCUGGACGUAAAGUUUAUGAAUCAUAGAAGAAAAUAAUUUACUAUGACAGAGCAUACACAUACAGUGAAAAGAAAUAUACUGGAACUCCAAGAGCUUGCAUAACUAGAAGAGUCUGAAAGGCACUGACUACCGUCAGUGUGGAGUAACUACACUUGGCACAAUUAAAGUGAUGAGAGGAGGAGGAGGAGCCACAGGGGAGAACAGGGAGGAUGCUGUACUGCAAGCGUACAUCAUUUAAAAAUAAUAGAGAAGAACUCCAGAAACGAAAUGUUGAAAUUAAAGUUCAAUGGAAAGGUCAGACAAGACAUAGAUCAUAGUUAAAACAAGGAUUGCUGACAGAAAUGGAAAAAGUAAUAAAAAUUCAGCAAAGAUAAAUAAAUAAUAGAAAAAUCGGGGGAAAAGGUUGAAACUUAGAGGAAGACUGAACAGGUUUAGGCUAGGUCUGAUAUGCCAAGAAGGAGGAUAAGAAAAGAGGGAAGAGAGGAGCGGCUACAUUUAAAGAAAUUUUCAUAAUCAAGCA